CGCACGGGUGCGUAACGCCGUGGGAAUCUGCCCUCAGGUACGGAAUAACUCAGGGAAACUUGAGCUAAUACCGUAUAAUGACUUCGGUCCAAAGAUUUAUCGCCUGAGGAUGAGCCCGCGUCGGAUUAGCUAGUUGGUGAGGUAAAAGCUCACCAAGGCGACGAUCCGUAGCUGGUCUGAGAGGAUGAUCAGCCACACUGGGACUGAGACACGGCCCAG
Molecule: ribosomal RNA, 219 nt
Filed under: uncultured bacterium
Lineage: Bacteria
Description: partial 16S ribosomal RNA
Rfam family: Bacterial small subunit ribosomal RNA
Source: RNAcentral